This is a long non-coding RNA of Dreissena polymorpha, 561 nucleotides long. RefSeq lists it as uncharacterized. The record is from RefSeq and is a predicted model, not a curated record. NCBI's taxonomy places the organism in Eukaryota, Metazoa, Mollusca, Bivalvia, Myida, Dreissenidae. The transcript is spliced from 3 exons.
UGAGCUGUCAGAAGACAGCGCGCUCGACUAUUCGAGUGCUUGACAGUAUUAACGUAUGCCAUCAUUGGAAAAUUGUCCAUAUUCAAUAAGGUCAAUGUAAUAUAGUCAUAUUCUAAGUGGAAGAGGACCAUAAUUGAAACAUAUUGAUCGCUUAUGUUUUAAAGAAGUUGUACUUUACAGACGAUUCUAAGUUCAGAUUGGGGUCAUGUUGGUAUAGAAGUAUGCAAAAUAUGAAAGCAAUAUGUCAAGGGACAAUAAUUGAAGUGGUACGCAAUCUUUAACAUUCCAACGCUCGGCUCAUGCUCACACAAACGCUCAUGCUAAUGCGGACGUCGGGGAGGUAACAGAAUGCAUAAUAAAUGAAAAAGAAAUAUACAUUGUAAAUCAGCUUACCAGCAAUUAUCAAAGAAGUUCCAUCAUGGAUUGCAAGUCUGGACCGUAGAGAAUUAUGCACUGUGAAUACCUCUCCUACCUGCAAAUAAAACCUUUCACAAAGAAUCAUGUGUAUAUUGUUAAACUUAAACAGCUCAUUUUCUCAAUGUUUUUUUGGAAUAAGACCUA